Sus scrofa (pig) is the source of this 382-nucleotide non-coding RNA. The record is from RefSeq and is a predicted model, not a curated record. Lineage: Eukaryota; Metazoa; Chordata; Mammalia; Artiodactyla; Suidae.
UCUGCGAUCAGGAAAGAACACAGACCACCCCCAUGGAGUUUCGGCUGAACUGGGUGGUCUUGUUUGCUCUCUUACAAUGUGUCCAGGGUGAGGUGAAGCUGGUGGAGUCUGGAGGAGGCCUGGUGCAGCCUGGGGGUCUCUGAGACUCUCCUGUGUUGGCUCUGGAUUCACCUUCAGUAGCUACAACAUGAUCUGGGUCCGCCAGGCUCCAGGGAAGGGGCUGGAGUGGCUGGCAUAUAUUACUAGUAGUGGUGGUAGCACCUACUACGCAGACUCUGUGAAGGGCCGAUUCACCAUCUCCAGCGACAACUCCCAGAACACGGCCUAUCUGCAAAUGAACAGCCUGAGAACCGAAGACACGGCCCGCUAUUACUGUGCAAGA